AUGCUUCGAUUGGCGGGCGUUGCCGAGGACUUGGGCGCCGUCGUCAACAACAAGGACUCCAUCCGACUCCUGGAUCGCGCGCGCACACUAGUUGCUGACACGAGGCAGCACCUCGUGCCAGCAGUUGGUGUGGAUCUCUUCGACCACGACCGCCAAGGCCGCCUCCUCGCGUACGCCUACGCCCUCACCCACCUCGGCAACGGUGUUGGGAGCGGCAUCGGCCAGCCCGUGGAGGCGGGCGCCGUGGUGAACUUCAUGAACAUCUUCAUCGGGCGCGUCAACCAGGCCAUCGAGCUUUUCUGGAACGAAAAACUCACUGGCCCUCAAUUCUUCGAUGCGGUGCUGGAUGCCAGCGCAAUUGUCGGCAUCAGGGCCGGCGUGGACUACAUUCGUCUCUGA
This 399-nucleotide ribosomal RNA is filed under the name Triticum aestivum (bread wheat). RNAcentral's name for it is "partial small subunit ribosomal RNA". The record is from RNAcentral. Lineage: Eukaryota; Viridiplantae; Streptophyta; Magnoliopsida; Poales; Poaceae.